This is an RNA transcript of Sapajus apella (tufted capuchin), 1605 nucleotides long. RefSeq lists it as uncharacterized. The transcript has 2 exons. The record is from RefSeq and is a predicted model, not a curated record. NCBI's taxonomy places the organism in Eukaryota, Metazoa, Chordata, Mammalia, Primates, Cebidae.
GGGCAUUCCAGUCUUCUCUCCCAGUUACAUCCUCCACGGAAACCACAAAGAUGACGCGCUCAACUUUUCUUAAAGUAAAAAAAAGUAUGCUUGUGUGUGUAUGGGGAGGAGAGGGGGAGUGGACGAGGGAUGGAGGGGAGUGCAAUAAUUCCUGUAGUCCUAAGACAUGCCAGUUGGUAGUUUCUGGUAUUCCAGACACUUCCUAAUGCCAGACAAAUGCCCCAAGCCUCGGCAUGUCUGGCUUAGAGAUCUAUUCAACUGAUAGCAGCCGCCUCUUCUGGGGAGAGCAGAUCUUUCAGAAAGCCCUGGCUGCGCUGCUGAUCAAACACGACAUUGUUCUCGGAAAGGAGGAAGAAUGGAAAGGUUUGUUUCAAAGUCACAACUUUAUUUUUUUAAAGAGGCACCCAAGUUGUUUUAAGACGUUGCUUCAAAACUUGGGUUUCCUGAGUGGAGGCUGUUUUGCACAGUGCAUCUACUGUAUAAAAAUCCAGGCAGGGAGGGAUCAGAAAGUUAGAGUCAUUACAGAAAAAAAAAAAAAAAAAAAAAAGCCCCAGGCACUUGAUGCCUGGAAAUGAUGUCAGACAGCAGCCACUCCUCUGUUAGAACUACAACCAAACAAUGCGCAGGCAAUCCACAGCGGCUGCCCUGCAAAUGUCAGCGCCAGCUCAGUCUAAAGAGCUUGAAACCUACCAAGCCGAAGGACUGUGCUGUGCCUCUCUCGCCCACAUUUUCCCCAAGCACUCUCAGGAACCUGGCAACAGGUAACGUGGCAACCUUUAACUUAUAAAAGGGCAAGUGGCACAAUUUCAGGGAACAAAUGGACUUUUUUCUUUUAAGCCAGCAUCUUCCCCACCACUCCCACACCUCCCUCCCUCCCUCCCAACCAAAAGUCAGUGGAGAAACAAAGCAUUGCCGCGGGCAGUCCUACUCUCGAGUGUCCCCUUGUGGCCAAACCUGGACAUCACUUCCGUAUUUUGCAAGCUGCGGCUCAGCUAAGAGGGAUGAAUGCCGUCCACACAAAAGAGCUCCUGUUGACAUCUCAUUUACAAUCUCCCCCAGGACACAGACAAGACCCUUUCAAUAAACCCGGCUCAGAAACACCUAUUGUUCAAAAUCUUCAACUCGCCACAGGCUACCACCACUCCCUAUGGCUUUGCAAAAUUAAAGAUUUAGAAGAAGGAUGAGGACUGUAGAAGCUCUGAAAAGAGGCAGGAAUAAAGUCCCUUUGACCUGGUGCCGUCAGAGCGUGCAUGAAGAAGAAAGUUAAUGGUAUUUCCAUUUAUAUAAGAAGUGCCUAAGAAAUGCCUGUGACGUUCGUGAAGUAGUGAUUGUGAAUGCCAAAUUUGGUGCCACCUUUAUGUGUAAGGAAGCUAACUCCUGCCAGCAUCAUUGCUGAAUGACCCGUUCCCAGCUUACAAAAGCCCGGCAGCUGCAGCAAAGCACCAGGUGAGUCUGAUAAGGGCUGUCUGUUUCCCUGGGGAUUUCAAGCUUGCCCGUCCUUUCCACGUGUUAUCUUGUGUCUAAGUGCUGGAGCCCACUCCUCUCCACUGAUUCCCUCCUUUCCAUUUCUGCCAUUUCCCUUCUUUUAAUAAAACUUGAACAUUU